Non-coding RNA from Danio rerio (zebrafish), 82 nucleotides. The record is from Rfam. NCBI's taxonomy places the organism in Eukaryota, Metazoa, Chordata, Actinopteri, Cypriniformes, Danionidae.
GUAGUCGUGGCUGAGUGGUUAAGGUGAUGGACUUGAAAUCCAUUUUGGUCUCCCUGCGCAGGUUCGAAUCCUGCCGACUACG